GCCCCCUUCGUCUAGAGGCCCAGGACGCGGCCCUCUCACGGCUGAAACAGGGGUUCGAAUCCCCUAGGGGGCGCCA
This 76-nucleotide transfer RNA is filed under the name Reyranella sp. CPCC 100927. Its description in RNAcentral is "tRNA-Glu". It matches the Rfam family "tRNA". Rfam says of the family: Transfer RNA (tRNA) molecules are approximately 80 nucleotides in length. Their secondary structure includes four short double-helical elements and three loops (D, anti-codon, and T loops). The record is from RNAcentral. Lineage: Bacteria; Pseudomonadati; Pseudomonadota; Alphaproteobacteria; Hyphomicrobiales; Reyranellaceae.